RNAcentral lists this transfer RNA (65 nucleotides) under Dipodomys ordii (Ord's kangaroo rat). It matches the Rfam family "tRNA". From Rfam's summary of the family: Transfer RNA (tRNA) molecules are approximately 80 nucleotides in length. Their secondary structure includes four short double-helical elements and three loops (D, anti-codon, and T loops). The record is from Rfam by way of RNAcentral. Lineage: Eukaryota; Metazoa; Chordata; Mammalia; Rodentia; Heteromyidae.
GGUGGCUCAGUGGUAGAGUGCUUGCCUUGUAUGCCUGAGACCCUGGGUUCGAUUCCUCAGCACCA